RNAcentral lists this ribosomal RNA (442 nucleotides) under uncultured bacterium. Its description in RNAcentral is "partial 16S ribosomal RNA". It matches the Rfam family "Bacterial small subunit ribosomal RNA", at positions 338 to 795 of the family's 1533-position model. The record is from RNAcentral.
CCUACGGGAGGCAGCAGUAGGGAAUCUUUCACAAUGGGCGAAAGCCUGAUGGAGCAACGCCGCGUGCAGGAUGAAGGCCUUCGGGUUGGAAACUGCUUUUAUAAGCGAGAAAUAUGAUGGUAACUUAUGAAUAAGGAUCGGAUAACUACGUGCCAGCAGCCGCAGUCAUACGUAGGAGCCGAGCAUUAUCCGGAGUGACUGGGUGUAAAGAGUGGCGUAGGUGGCAUAAUAAGUAGCUAGGGAAAUCUGGUGGCUCAACCAUUCAGACUAUUAGCUAAACUGUUAAGCUCGCGACCGUUAGGGGUAACUGGAAUUCGUAGUGUAGCAGUGAAAUGCGUAGAUAUUAGAAGGAACACCGAUAGCGUAGGCAGGUUACUGGGACGGUACUGACACUAAGGCACGAAAGCGUAGGGAUCAAACAGGAUUAGAUACACCGGUAGUC